RNAcentral lists this long non-coding RNA (839 nucleotides) under Monodelphis domestica (gray short-tailed opossum). Its description in RNAcentral is "lncRNA (ENSMODG00000051557.1)". The record is from RNAcentral. Lineage: Eukaryota; Metazoa; Chordata; Mammalia; Didelphimorphia; Didelphidae.
AAAUAUUUAGUACUAAUAUAAGAAAAAAUAAAUGGAUCUGUCUACAAAUUGAAUGGUUGAAAACACAUAUUAUAAUUGACUCUUAGACACUGGAGCUUCCAAGUCAGUUGUGGAAAAGAAACUUGCCAACACCCUGAAUCAAGAAAGUGGAUCAUUUGGAGAUGGUCUCAUAAAGAAGCCUUUGGAAACCAUACACUGUAUCAGAAUAUACAGAAUGAACAUUGGGAUAUAAUGAACUAAACUGAAGGGGAUUGAACAUAUCAUUUAUUCUGAAUGGAGAGAAGUCACUGGAGUUUAUUGAGUGGGAGAGGGCACAAGGCUGACAUUCUUAGAUAUGUACUUGAAAGAAAAUCACUUUGGUUGCUGAAUGGAGGAUGGAUUGGAGUGGAGAGUAACUUCAAGAAAUCUGACUCACCAGCUUUCAUAAAAGGUAUAACCAAGCCUUACUUUAUUGUGCCCUCUAUCAUUAUUAGUUUCCUGCUUCAUGAAGAAUUAUAAAUUUUGAUUUCUAAAUCAGAGAUGUGUCCUAGUUCAUUGAAAAAUACAUUGCCCUGAAAACUGCAGUAACAGAGAGAGCUUUAUUUUCUUGAAGUGAUUUGAUUAAGUAGAUGAUUAUCAGCAGGUAUAUUAUUAUUAGUAGUAGUGGUAGUAGUAGUAGUAAUAUAUAACAUUUAUAAAUCUUGCCAGAUCCAUUUUAAAUUUUUUCUUAUAUAAUACAGGUUAAAAUGAUAAAAAAAAAUUAGUGAGAAGUAUCAUGGCCUCUGAGAGAUAUAUAAGGUAUCUUAAUUCUAUUACUUUAUUAAUUAAUCAAUAAUGUAAAAAGGAUGGAUCAUUUUCUG